GUGAAAGUGAGUUUUCUUACUGUCAAAAAGGAAAUUUUAAAAAAGGAGAUAUUAGAAAUACAGGCUGGCCAGGGACGUAAGUACCUGCCUGACAAGGUUGAGAGUUCGAUCCCCAGUACAAAAAAAGAAAAGAAACACAAGCUGAACUGAGUGGUGGUGCACCCUGUAAGUCCAGCACUCGGGAGGCUGAGGCAAGAGGAUCACUGUGAGCUUGAGGGCAGCCUGGGCUACACAGUGAGUUCAGGGGCAGCUUGAAACUACAGAGCAAGAACCUAUCUCAAAAAACCGAACAAACAAAGCCAGGCGUGAUGGUGCACUCCUGUAGUCCCAGCACUUGGGAGGCUGAGGCAGAUGGAUUGUGGCAAGUUUGAGACCAGCAUGGGCUACAAAGUGAGCCCAAGGCAGCCUGAACCGCAUAGCCAGACCCUGUCUCAGAAAGCAAAAAAAAAAAAACAAAGAAACACAGGCUGGGAGAAAGCUGGACUGAUCCUGGGGCUCUGGCCCAGGACUGGAGAGUCAAGCAUGAGUCAUGAUUACACAUGCAGGCACCACAGGGAGAUGAGCUUGUGCGCAUGUGCAACACCCUUGGAGCAACAAGCACCAACACAGCCCAGCACUUGGCAUCCAAGUCUACUCUCCAGCACAAGGACUCAGGGUUCCUGAGGAAGUUCCAGUUCCGGGCCGGGACAGGAAGUUGAGGUGGACUCGGAGUACCUCAUCCCGGAAAGUCAGGCCUUGCUCAGAGAACAGCUGACUCACGUCAGACGGCACAGCACAGCCUGGGGAGCUCCUCUGCCAAACUGGGAACAAUGUGAGCACUAACAUAAUAAGGGUCUCACUAUGCAGUUCAGGCUGGCCUUGAACUCACUUUGUAGCCUAAGCUGGUCUCAAACUUGCAACUAUCUUGCCUCAGCAUCCUGAAUGCUGGGAUUACAGUACAGGAGGCCUGGGGUCCUAGGCCAAAGGGGCAGAGGCAGAUGUUGUGAGAAGAGCAAAGAUGGGGCAGCCUGGGCCUCUGCUCUCCAUGACAGACUCUGCGUGUGACUUUAGAAGACACUGAGGGAAGGUGAGGCUGUGCAUGACAUGACCAGGCUUUCUAUCUGGAUGUCCCCCCAAGCCUAUGUGUUCAUAGACGAGGCUUUGGGGAGGUGACUGGAUCACUGGGCCAUGCUACUCUUCAGUGUGGAGAAGCCCACUGGUCAGUUUCUAGCUACAUGUGAUGCUGGGAGUUGAAGCCUGACUGGAGGAAGUACUGAUCGCUGGGGGCGUGGCCUGAAAGGGUCUAUUUCCCUCCUCCUCCUCUCUUGAUCUCUGCCUGCUUGCUGCCCGCCAUACCAUACAGCAGUUUCUCCUCUGUGAUGCCCCACUGCCAUGCCAUCCUGCCCUGGAGUCAGCCAACUAUCAACUGAAACCUCUACACACUGGGAGCCAAAAUAAACCUCUUCUUUAAAUUG
Molecule: long non-coding RNA, 1454 nt
Organism: Cavia porcellus (domestic guinea pig)
Lineage: Eukaryota; Metazoa; Chordata; Mammalia; Rodentia; Caviidae
Exons: 3
Source: RefSeq, a predicted model, not a curated record